UACGUAGGUGGCAAGCGUUGUCCGGAUUUACUGGGCGUAAAGAGCGCGCAGGCGGCCGAGUAAGUCGAAUGUGAAAGCCCCUGGCUCAACUGGGGAAGGUCAUUCGAUACUGUUCGGCUCGAAGAUAGGAGAGGGAAGCGGAAUUUCAGGUGUAGUGGUGAAAUGCGUAGAUAUUGGGAAGAACACCUGAGGCGAAGGCGGGUUGCUGGGCCGACACUGACGCUGAUGCGCGAAAGCCAGGGGAGCGAACGGG
RNAcentral lists this ribosomal RNA (253 nucleotides) under uncultured bacterium. Its description in RNAcentral is "partial 16S ribosomal RNA". It matches the Rfam family "Bacterial small subunit ribosomal RNA", at positions 524 to 776 of the family's 1533-position model. The record is from RNAcentral.